This 1588-nucleotide ribosomal RNA is filed under the name Dioscorea alata (purple yam). RNAcentral's name for it is "SSU rRNA". It matches the Rfam family "Eukaryotic small subunit ribosomal RNA". The record is from RNAcentral. Lineage: Eukaryota; Viridiplantae; Streptophyta; Magnoliopsida; Dioscoreales; Dioscoreaceae.
CCUGGUUGAUCCUGCAAGUAGUCAUAUGCUUGUCUCAUAGAUUAAGCCAUGCAUGUGCAAGUAUGAACUAAUUCAGACUGUGAAACUACGAAUGGCUCAUUAAAUCAGUUAUAGUUUGUUUGAUGGUACCUGGUACUCGGAUAACCGUUGUAAUUCUAGAGCUAAUACAUGCACCAUUCCCCGACUUCCGGAAGUGUUGCAUUUAAUUGAUAAAAGGCCGACGCGGGCUAGCCCAGCCGAUCUGAUGAUUCAUGAUAACUCGAUGGACCGUACAACCCUCGUAACGGGUGACGAAGAAUUAGGGUACGAUUCCGGAGAGGGAGCCUGAGAAACGGCUACCACAUCCAAGGAAGGCAGUAGGCGCGCAAAUUACCCAAUCCUUACACGGGGAGGUAGUGACAAUAAAUAACAAUACCGAGACUUUCGGGUCUGGUAAUUGGAAUUAGUAUAAUCUAAAUCCCUUAAUGAGGAUCCAUUGGAGGGCAAGUCUGGUGCCAGCAGUCGAGGUAAUUCCAGCUCCAAUAGCGUAUAUUUAAGUUGUUGCAGUUAAAAAGCUCGUAGUCGGACCUUGCUCCGGGCCGGCCGAUCCGCCUCUCGGUGUGCAAUGAUUCCGGUCUUAUUGUGUUGGCCUUCAGGAUUAGAGUAAUGAUUAAGAGGGCCAGUCGGGGGCAUUCGUAUUUUCAUAGUCAGAGGUGAAAUUCUUAAAUUUAUGAAAGACGAUCCAUGGGAAAGCAUUUGCUAAGGAUGUUUUCAUUGAUCAAGAACGAAAGUUGGGGUUCGAAGAUGAUCAGAUACCGUCUUAGUCUCAAUCAUAAACGAUGCCGACCAGGGAUUGGCUGAUGUUUCUUUUAGGACUCAGCCGGCACCUUAUGAGAAAUCAAAGUCUUUGGGUUCAGGUGGGAGUAUGGUCGCAAGGUUAAAACUUAAAGGAAUUGACCGAAGGGCACCACCAGGAGUGGAGCCUGCUACUUAAUUUGACUCAACACGGGGAAACUUACCAGGUAUAGACAUAGCAAGGAUUGAUAGACUGAGAGCUCUUUCUUGAUUCUAUGGAUGGUGGUGCAUGGCCGUUCUUAGUUGGUGGAGCGAUUUGUCUUGUUAAUUCUGAUAAUGAACUAGACCUCAGCCUGCUAACUAGCUAUGCGGAGGAAUCCCUACGCGGCCAGCUUCUUAGAGGGACUGUGGCCAUUUAAGACACCGAAGUUUGAGAUAAUAACAGGUCUAUGAUGCCCUUAGAUGUUCUGGGCCGCACGCGCUCUACACUGAUGUACUCAACGAGUCUAUAUCGUUGGCCGACAGGCCCGGGUAAUCUUGUUAAAUUUCAUCAUGAUGGGGAUAGAUCAUUGUAAUUGUUGGUCUUCAAAGAGGAAUUCCUAGUAAGCGUCAGUCAUCAGCUCGUGUUGACUAUAUUCCUGCCCUUUGUACACACCGCCCAUCACUCCUACCGAUUGAAUGGUUCGGUGAAGUUUUCGGAUCACGAUGACGGGGGCGGUCACGCUGACCGCGACGUCGCGAGAAGUCCACUGAACUUUAUCAUUUAGAGGAAGUAGAAGUCGUAACAAGGCUUCCGUAGGUAAACUUGGGGAAG